AUUGAACGCUGGCGGCAGGCCUAACACAUGCAAGUCGAACGAGUGGCGGACGGGUGAGUAAUGUCUGGGAAACUGCCCGAUGGAGGGGGAUAACUACUGGAAACGGUAGCUAAUACCGCAUACCAUCGGAUGUGCCCAGGUGGGAUUAGCUAGUAGGUGGGGUAACGGCGCACCGAGCCGACGAUCCCUAGCUGGUCUGAGAGGAUGACCAGCCACACUUGAACUGAGACACGGCCCAGACUCCUACGGGAGGCAGCAGGGGGGAAUAUUGCGCAAGGGGCGCAAGCCGGAUGCAGCCAUGCCGCGUGAAUGAAGAAGGCCUUCGGGUUGUAAAGUACUGUCAGCGAGGAGGCGUUACUCGCAGAAGAAGCACCGGCUAACUCCGUGCCAGCAGCCGCGGUAAUAC
RNAcentral lists this ribosomal RNA (406 nucleotides) under uncultured bacterium. RNAcentral describes it as "partial 16S ribosomal RNA". It matches the Rfam family "Bacterial small subunit ribosomal RNA", at positions 29 to 526 of the family's 1533-position model. The record is from RNAcentral.